UACGGAGGGUGCAAGCGUUAAUCGGAAUUACUGGGCGUAAAGCGUGCGCAGGCGGUUUGUUAAGUCCGUUGUGAAAGCCCCGAGCUCAACUUGGGAAUUGCAGUGGAUACUGGCAGGCUGGAGUACGGUAGAGGAAGGUGGAAUUCCCGGUGUAGCAGUGAAAUGCGUAGAUAUCGGGAGGAACACCAGUGGCGAAGGCGGCCUUCUGGACCAGUUACUGACGCUCAUGCACGAAAGCGUGGGGAGCAAACAGG
RNAcentral lists this ribosomal RNA (254 nucleotides) under uncultured bacterium. RNAcentral describes it as "partial 16S ribosomal RNA". It matches the Rfam family "Bacterial small subunit ribosomal RNA", at positions 524 to 776 of the family's 1533-position model. The record is from RNAcentral.